CUUGAGGUGGAGGGCUUUUUGAAAGCAAGACAUUGGGAUAUGAAAUAGCUUUUGCACUUCAUAUGAUAGUAAUGAUGGGGAUGGUAGUAAUGACAGUGAUGUAGUAAUGACAGUGAUGGUAGUAACAAUGGUGGUAAUGAUGGGGAUGGUAGUAAUGAAGAAGUACUGGCUUCUUCAUGUUGCACUAGAGAGCUCACUAAGAAAAAAAAAAAGUUAAGCUCAGGGCUUUAAACUCUUAGCUCAAGUCAAGUCAUGGUCAAAGAAACUGAGAACUUCCACAGUGGCCUUAACAGAUGUCUUAUUUUUAUAUCACAAGCUGAGGACUAGACCAAAAAUCUUGUUGCGCAGACUUCCAAAUUACAAGACGAGUUCAACUUCAGUCUUGUCAAGCGUCUUAAGUUGGGAAACUGUUAAUAUGGUUUGUGGAACCACAAGAUUGAGAUGAGGACAUUUGGAUGGGUUUUUAAGAAUCUGAGAACCUUGCACCCCAAAUGCACUGAGACUUCCUUGCCAGCAGAAACAUCUUCCACACCAUCUGAGGCCACUCACCUGAAGUGAUUGCCUUUCAAGGAAAUGCCUAUUCUCCUGAAGAUGUACCAUCACUUCUUCUCAUUACUUCCAAAUCCAUUGUUAGUCAGAUCCACACAUCCUAGGUUUGUUCCCAGAGGAGAUAGCAUAACAACUGCAAGAUUUUGCUGAGUUUAUGUCCACAAGAACUUGAGAUGGAAUAAAAUAUUGGACUGGACUACAUUUAUUGAUAGAAGUUUUAUUAUCCAAGACUCUAGACUUCCUGUGCUAGCUUGAAGAGCUGGCAGUGGCUCUAACAAUUUGGUUGACUUAAACCUGGGCCCAAUAGUGGUCUACAUUUAACAAAGCAGAGAGUCCAGAACUUCCCUGGGAUAAUGUCAAGGAAGGCAUCCAAAGAUUUCAGAAUAUGAGAAAGAUGAAAGGAAAUUAUUUUGUGCAACCCAGUUUCCCAUGACCUGACUGUCUUGCAGAAGGACCCAGAGACUCCCAGAGAUUGAGACUUUCAGAAAUGCUCUAGUGAGGAGAGGACCAACAGCCUUGAAAAGCCCUGUGAGAAUGACAGAGCCUCUCUAUGGAAAUGGGCUUUCUGAUUAAGUGGGAAUGAUGGGAUCCUAGAUCCGUGGGUCCAGCUGACAGCUUACCCAUCAGACAAGAUGAAUGCAAUUGUUUAAAUGUGCAAAAGAAGUGAAGGAUGUCUUCAAUUUGAACUAGAGGGCUCACAGUCAACUUUGAAAUGGAACCAAUGGGCAACCUACGAAAGCAUCACUUUAUAUAAGCAGAAAAAUUCUAGGUCAGCAGAAACAUGACUCCAGUAACCACAAAAGGAAAUUAUUUCUCUUUCAAUUCCCAGACCUUUGGCAGCCCUCAGGAGCCCCAAAUCCUUGAUAAAGAGAAGUCCAGUCUCCUUAGUAAGGAAACUUCAGCAUGGUCAGAAAUACAAUAAUCUAUAAGUCUUCCUCCAGGCCCUCCCCAAAGGGAUCCGAGGUCAUUUACGAUGGUAACUGUGCAUCUGAGAAAGGGAGACAAUGAGACUUUUGAGGGCUUAUUAAGCACUCAGUAUAUUUUGACAUUCAUCUCUGGAAAGCCAAAAUCUCAUUGUGUCCUACCAUUCAGAGCAAAUCCAUAUCUUUUUCUACAGAUAACUGCAAAUUAUGCUUUUGAGAAACAGCUCCUGUUUUCCUACGGGGCUCUGGUAGAGACUGAAAGGUUGACUAUGGGACACCAAAUCGGUAGACACAUCAAGUUGCCAUCAUGACAGGGUGCUACCUGACGCCCCAAGUCAUAUGGCUGUGCAUACACAGCAGGAAUCCAUCAUCAAGUGAAGAAUGCCUUACUUUUGAUGUGUAAAAGUCCCUUGGUCAGAGUAAGGUUUUGCAGGAUACCUCGAUGCAGGAAUUCACAGGCCCAGGGAUCAAGGAGUGGAAAUGGUAGCGAACCCUCUCAACAUUACCUGAUGACCCGUUUCCAUCCUUGAAAGCUUGGUCUGGAGGUUUCGAGUCUUUGGUUGUCAAGAAGAGAGUGCUUCACCAGGAGAUGUGAUGAUGUUCCCGUUGACUUGCAUGCUGAGCCCUGGCUAUUUUGGGCUUCCUUAUACCACAGAACCAACAGGCAUAUAGAGAAAGGAGGCUUACUGAGCUAGCUGGGCAAUACCUCCUGACUUCCCAGGGGGCAGUGGGUUGGCACUAUACAGCAGGAACAAGAGAGGUCCAGGGUUGGCACCGAGGGGAUUUAUUGAGCUUUUCUUAGUACUUCCAUAUCCAAAAGCAAAAUCUAAUGAAAAACUACAGCUACCCAUUAAAGGCAGGACCACUAAGGACUCAGAUGACUCAGAAAUAAGGGUUUGUGUCAUCCUACGAGGUAAAGAACACCAACCACCUGAUGGUCAAGGGAACUUGGAAUGGGUGAUAAGAAAAAAAAGUGAUAAUAUCAAUCUC
This is a long non-coding RNA of Equus caballus (horse), 2462 nucleotides long. Lineage: Eukaryota; Metazoa; Chordata; Mammalia; Perissodactyla; Equidae. The record is from Ensembl.